Long non-coding RNA from Gasterosteus aculeatus aculeatus (three-spined stickleback), 4156 nucleotides. Lineage: Eukaryota; Metazoa; Chordata; Actinopteri; Perciformes; Gasterosteidae. The record is from Ensembl.
GUGUGGUGGUAACAACACAAUUAUGAGAGAAAGGCUGCUGCGGGAGAAAAACUUGACACUGGACACAAGUUUACAACUGUGCAGAGCAGCAGAGCUCUCCAAGGAGAACGUUAAAACCAUCACCGGGCCGAUGGUUGAAGAGGUGCAUGCUGUUCAAGGGGCGCAGUACCAGUGGAAAGGUAACGACACAGUGGAGUGUAAAUUCUGCAGAAGAACACAUGAAAGGACCAAACAGAAAUGUCCGGCGUUCGGAAAGAAGUGUGCAAAGUGUGGCAGAGAGAACCACUUUGCAGCCAAAUGUAAAGCUAAACCAGACCAAAGGAGGAAGAAACGUGAAAACCGACAACAGGGGGGACGAUGGAACAAAUCAAAACAAGUUAUGCUGACGUGUUCACUGGAGAUGGCUGCCUUGGAGGAAAAUACAAGAUGGAGGUGGACAGCACAGUGAAGCCGGUGCAGCUGCCAAAGAGACGGGUUCCAGUGUCCCUGAUGAAACCACUGAAGGAAGAGCUUAGAGACCUGCAACACAGAGGGAUAAUCACUCUUGUAGAAUGCAGCACAGACUGGAUCAGUGCUAUGGUGGUAGUACAGAAACAGAAUGGCAAGCCAAGGGUCUGUAUUGAUCCCAAACCCUUGAACAAAGCACUAAAACGCAGUCACUUCCCACUUCCAACCAUCGAGGACAUCUUACCAGACUUGUCAAAAGCUAAAGUGUUCACAGUGUGUGAUGUCAAGAGUGGAUUCUGGCAUGUACAGCUGGAGGAGGAGUCUAGCUAUUUGACAACAUUUGCCACUCCAUUUGGAAGGUACAGAUGGCGGAGGAUGCCGAUGGGGAUAAUUACUUCACCAAGUUUUGCCCACACCACUCAGACCAAUGCAAGGUAUUGAGAUACCUGACACACACACAAAGACAGUGAGUGGACAUGGACAACAGAACAUGGGGAGGCAUUCCUCAACCUGAAAGAGACAAUUGCGAAUGCUCCAGUAUUGAGAUAUUACAACCCUGAGGAGGAGCUGACAGUACAGUGUGACGCUUCAGACACAGGUUUGGGCGCAGCACUGAUGCAGAUGGGGAAGCCAGUCGCUUUCGCAAGCAGGGCACUUACACAAACUGAGGGGCACUAUGCCCAAAUGGAAAAAGAGUUUUUAGCAGUGGUUUUCAGCAUGGAGAAAUUCCACCAAUACACAUAUGGCCGCAAAGUCACACUACAGAGUGAUCAUAAGCCGUUAGAAACCAUUGUACGCAAACCCCUGCUGAGUGCACCCAAAAGGCUGCAGGGCAUGAUGCUGCGCAUACAAAAAUAUGACUUGGAUGUCAUUUAUGUGCCUGGAAGAGACAUGUUACUGGCCGACACUCUCAGCAGAGCCUAUCUUCCUGAGAGUACACCGGUGGAAGCUGAUCUAGAGACUGUCAACAUGGUGCAACACUUACCGAUCUCCUCAGACAGACUUCAUGACAUAAGGUCUGCCACAGAAAAAGACACCACAUUGCAGCUUCUCAUUAAAACAAUGAGCCAGAGAUGGCCCAAGGACAAAUCACAGGUACCGAGUGAAAUCAGGCCUUACUUCUCAUUACAAGGAGAAUUAAGCCACCAAGAUGGAAUAGUCUUCAGGGGUGAGCGUGCCGUAAUUCCUGACACGCUGAGAUCAGACAUCACUGGUCGAUUACACUCAUCGCAUCUGGGUGUUGAAGGAUGCCUACGUAUAGCUAGAGAGUGUGUCUACUGGCUGGGCAUGAACGACCAGAUUAAGACGUAUAUAGCCAAGUGUGAUAUCUGCAGGUCAAUGGACAAUAAACAGCAAAAAGAAACAUUGAUGUCACAUGAGGUUCCAAGCAGGCCAUGGGCGAAGGUGGGCACAGAUCUGUUUGUGUUUGACAACAAGAACUAUCUCAUCACUGUGGAUUAUUGGUCAAACUUUUGGGAAAUAGACUACCUGGUAGAUACCAAAUCUACCACAGUGAUAAAGAAACUGAAAGCUCAUUUUGCCCCCCAAGGCAUUCCGCAACACACCGUCACAGGGCCUGGAUAGUAGCCCAGCACAGCGACUACUCAGUCGUCGUACCAAAACACUGCUGCCAACGAAAGCAACCCUGCUCAGGCCAGAAGUCGUUCAGGUCAGCCAGAAGCUGAAGAACAGGCAUCAAUGUCAGCGUACAUACUACAACAGAUCAGCUAGAGGCUUGGACACACUUGCCACGGGUGACUGUGUGAGGAUACAACCACUCCCACCCCACGCUGUCUGGAGACUAGGCAGGGUGCUGAAGCCAGUUGAUGGGAGGUCCUAUGAGGUUCAGUUGCAAUCUGGAAGUUUCAUUAGGAGAAAUCGCAGACACCUCAGGCGUGCACCUGGUGUGACCUUUAGUGACCCUCUCGAUAUGGAGAUCAGCAUUCCCAGUCAGCCACAGGCUGUGAGACAUGAAUCUGCAGAGUCUGUUCCUGUCCCUCAGGGUGUCGCAGCAGAACAUACACCCAGAGACACUGGUGGCGGAGACACCCCUGUCACGACCAGAGCCGGGCGCACAGUGGUGCAGCCACAGCGAUAUAAGGACUGUGUGGUAUCAUGCAGAUGAAUGCUGAUUUUUACAUGCACCUGACACGUGAAAAGUGUACAAGCGCAAAAGUUAUGGUUUAUUUGAUAUUGUUGUGAUCAUUUGCACAUUUCAUGUUCUUAGUGAAUGGUUGAGUGUUAUCUCACUGUGAAAUUGGUGAUGCUGUGUUUUCAGUUUGUUAUAGGCUAUUUUCAUCAGUUGCUGAGAGAAGAUUUUGAUUGAUGAGCAUAUUGAAUUGUUUAUAAUUUAGCAAUAAGCAGUGUCAGUGUCAGUAUUAUAAUCUUGCUUGUUGGCCACAGUCAAAUGUUGAGAUAACAGCUCUAACUCUCAAAAGAGAAAGGAUAUAACAAUAGGAACUAUAGGUAGGAACCAUUGUUUAGUUCCGUGAGUCACACGGACUGUUAUUGGGGAAACACCGUCUUGUAACCAGACCGAGCAAGAUAGACCGUACAUGCUACGUGGAAGUUUAUUAAAGUUUACAACCCAGUGAGGUGAGACAUGGAAGAGUGUGCUCGUGUUUGUGAUUAAGUACCGCGUUAUAACACCUUGCAUCAAAGCGUAUCACAGUAUCGGAUCAACAGGGGACAUUACGACAUUUGCAGGAACACAUUCAAACAUAAAUCAAAGGUAGCGGAUUCGUUGAUCCGGACUAUAUCGUACGACUUAUGACUGAACAAAUCAAAUAAACAUCAAGUUUAUAUAAACACGCUGAAUUAGUCUGCCCAGAAAACCAGUCUCUUACUGUCUGAUGGGCUCGAUCGACGUGGCGUCGGUCGGUGGUUGCUCAUCAGCUUCUAGCUGACUGAGGAAGGUUGAGCUGCGCGUAGGGAAACUCGGUGGGCAAAGGCGAUUUGGAACUUCUCGUUGGGAACAGAGGCGGCGGGGGGAAUCAGAGAGCAGCUGUUUCUCCAGUCCUCCGGAGUGAGGCGGAGAUAAAAUCAAAAGCGAAAAGAAGCGGGGAAGGAGUGGAGCGAGAGUCUUGAGUUUGUCCAGCGAGAUUAAGACUGAAACUUGGGAAUUGGAGGGAAAAGAAAAGAAAGCAACCUUGUGUUGUCUCGAUCUAUUACUAACUGGGAAGUCAGGCGAAAGAGAUCGAUUCUUUGACGCAAUCUUUUUUUAUAAAGUUGAGGUCCAUAAAUAAAUGUCACUGUCCUCGGCCAAUGGGAGCUCUCUGUGUUCUUUCCUACAUCCUCUUUUUAUGACCAAGGGGGUCUGGACCCUCGCAGGGCUCCUGUUAUCAGCGCCUGGCAUCAGGCCACGGGGACCCCUAUAUGUUUGUGUUUUUCCUUUGUCCUCAGUGAAGAAAAACGUGGUGAGGUUUUUUAGCAGGGCGGAGGCCCAACAGCUUUAUAUUUAAUAUACAAACACGUGGUGGGCAUCAAUCUUCUCCAAUAACUGCUGUAAAAAAUGAUCAAACUGAUAUUUUAAAAGCGCAUUAAACGUCUUCUAUCAUUACGUUGACCUUUGUUGACCCUCCAGACCACAGUCAGCAAGCGUAUCUCAUAGCAAUAUCCUUUUGUAUUUGCCAGUGCGCGUUGAUGUAAUUGAAGCGGCAAGGUCACUGUGAUGCUUUUGUCGUUGAUGUUAAGUUCCGAGUUUUCUCCC